GCUGAUGCGUUGUUGGGUAGGGGAGCGUUCUGUAAGCCUGCGAAGGUGACCUGUGAGGGUUGCUGGAGGUAUCAGAAGUGCGAAUGCUGACAUAAGUAACGAUAAAGCGGGUGAAAAGCCCGCUCGCCGGAAGACCAAGGGUUCCUGUCCAACGUUAAUCGGGGCAGGGUGAGUCGACCCCUAAGGCGAGGCCGAAAGGCGUAGUCGAUGGGAAACGGGUUAAUAUUCCCGUACUUGGUGUUACUGCGAAGGGGGGACGGAGAAGGCUAUGUUGGCCGGGCGACGGUUGUCCCGGUUUAAGCGUGUAGGUGUGUGUUCCAGGUAAAUCCGGUUCACUUUAACACUGAGGCGUGAUGACGAGGCACUACGGUGCUGAAGCAACAAAUGCCCUGCUUCCAGGAAAAGCCUCUAAGCAUCAGGUAACAUCAAAUCGUACCCCAAACCGACACAGGUGGUCAGGUAGAGAAUACCAAGGCGCUUGAGAGAACUCGGGUGAAGGAACUAGGCAAAAUGGUGCCGUAACUUCGGGAGAAGGCACGCUGACACGUAGGUGAAGUGAUUUACUCACGGAGCUGAAGUCAGUCGAAGAUACCAGCUGGCUGCAACUGUUUAUUAAAAACACAGCACUGUGCAAACACGAAAGUGGACGUAUACGGUGUGACGCCUGCCCGGUGCCGGAAGGUUAAUUGAUGGGGUCAGCGCAAGCGAAGCUCCUGAUCGAAGCCCCGGUAAACGGCGGCCGUAACUAUAACGGUCCUAAGGUAGCGAAAUUCCUUGUCGGGUAAGUUCCGACCUGCACGAAUGGCGUAAUGAUGGCCAGGCUGUCUCCACCCGAGACUCAGUGAAAUUGAACUCGCUGUGAAGAUGCAGUGUACCCGCGGCAAGACGGAAAGACCCCGUGAACCUUUACUAUAGCUUGACACUGAACAUUGAGCCUUGAUGUGUAGGAUAGGUGGGAGGCUUUGAAGUGUGGACGCCAGUCUGCAUGGAGCCGACCUUGAAAUACCACCCUUUAAUGUUUGAUGUUCUAACGUGGACCCGUAAUCCGGGUUGCGGACAGUGUCUGGUGGGUAGUUUGACUGGGGCGGUCUCCUCCUAAAGAGUAACGGAGGAGCACGAAGGUUGGCUAAUCCUGGUCGGACAUCAGGAGGUUAGUGCAAUGGCAUAAGCCAGCUUGACUGCGAGCGUGACGGCGCGAGCAGGUGCGAAAGCAGGUCAUAGUGAUCCGGUGGUUCUGAAUGGAAGGGCCAUCGCUCAACGGAUAAAAGGUACUCCGGGGAUAACAGGCUGAUACCGCCCAAGAGUUCAUAUCGACGGCGGUGUUUGGCACCUCGAUGUCGGCUCAUCACAUCCUGGGGCUGAAGUAGGUCCCAAGGGUAUGGCUGUUCGCCAUUUAAAGUGGUACGCGAGCUGGGUUUAGAACGUCGUGAGACAGUUCGGUCCCUAUCUGCCGUGGGCGCUGGAGAACUGAGGGGGGCUGCUCCUAGUACGAGAGGACCGGAGUGGACGCAUCACUGGUGUUCGGGUUGUCAUGCCAAUGGCACUGCCCGGUAGCUAAAUGCGGAAGAGAUAAGUGCUGAAAGCAUCUAAGCACGAAACUUGCCCCGAGAUGAGUUCUC
Molecule: ribosomal RNA, 1619 nt
Filed under: Salmonella enterica subsp. enterica serovar Typhimurium
Lineage: Bacteria; Pseudomonadati; Pseudomonadota; Gammaproteobacteria; Enterobacterales; Enterobacteriaceae
Description: partial 23S ribosomal RNA
Rfam family: Bacterial large subunit ribosomal RNA
Source: RNAcentral